This 483-nucleotide ribosomal RNA is filed under the name Cryptosporidium sp. vole genotype IX. Its description in RNAcentral is "partial small subunit ribosomal RNA". It matches the Rfam family "Eukaryotic small subunit ribosomal RNA", at positions 514 to 1024 of the family's 1831-position model. Lineage: Eukaryota; Apicomplexa; Conoidasida; Eucoccidiorida; Cryptosporidiidae. The record is from RNAcentral.
AUGAGUUAAGUAUAAACCCCUUUACAAGUAUCAAUUGGAGGGCAAGUCUGGUGCCAGCAGCCGCGGUAAUUCCAGCUCCAAUAGCGUAUAUUAAAGUUGUUGCAGUUAAAAAGCUCGUAGUUGGAUUUCUGUUAAUAAUUUUAUAGUAUAUUUAACAUAUAUUAUAUAAUAUUAACAUAAUUCAUAUUACUAUUUUUUUUAGUAUAUGAAAUUUUACUUUGAGAAAAUUAGAGUGCUUAAAGCAGGCAUAUGCCUUGAAUACUCCAGCAUGGAAUAAUAUAAAAGAUUUUUAUCUUUUUUAUAUUGGUUCUAAGAUAAAAAUAAUGAUUAAUAGGAACAGUUGGGGGCAUUUGUAUUUAACAGUCAGAGGUGAAAUUCUUAGAUUUGUUAAAGACAAACUAGUGCGAAAGCAUUUGCCAAGGAUGUUUUCAUUAAUCAAGAACGAAAGUUAGGGGAUCGAAGACGAUCAGAUACCGUCGUAGU